UACGCAGGCGGCUUUGUAAGUCAGAUGUGAAAGACUAUGGUUUAACUGUGGUAAGCAUUUGAAACUACAGAGCUUGAGUACAGGAUGGGAGAGUGGAAUUCCUAGUGUAGCGGUGAAAUGCGUAGAUAUUAGGAGGAAUACCAGUGGCGAAGGCGACUCUCUGGACUGUAACUGACGCUGAGGUACGAAAGCAUGGGGAGCAAACAGGAUUAGAUACCCUGGUAGUCCAUGCUAUAAACGAUGAGUGCUAGGUGUUGGGAGGGACACCUCUCGGUGCCGAAGUUAACACAUUAAGCACUCCGCCUGGGGAGUACGGUCGCAAGACUGAAACUCAAAGGAAUUGACGGGGACCCGCACAAGCAGCGGAGCAUGUGGUUUAAUUCGAUGCAACGCGAAGAACCUUACCAGGACUUGACAUCCUUCAGCCAGGGCUAGAGAUAGUCCCCUUCCCUUCGGGGACUGAGGAGACAGGUGGUGCAUGGUUGUCGUCAGCUCGUGUCGUGAGAUGUUGGGUUAAGUCCCGCAACGAGCGCAACCCUUGUC
This 543-nucleotide ribosomal RNA is filed under the name uncultured bacterium. RNAcentral describes it as "bacterial SSU rRNA". It matches the Rfam family "Bacterial small subunit ribosomal RNA", at positions 568 to 1109 of the family's 1533-position model. The record is from RNAcentral.